This 429-nucleotide long non-coding RNA is filed under the name Macaca mulatta (Rhesus monkey). RNAcentral's name for it is "lncRNA (ENSMMUG00000051711.1)". The record is from RNAcentral. Lineage: Eukaryota; Metazoa; Chordata; Mammalia; Primates; Cercopithecidae.
UUCUCUUUAUAUCUUAAUAUAGAAACUUCUAACAGAGUUUGACACGGACAUUUGCCCCAGUGUGUCAUGCUCAGAGGAAUGACUCAUAGGUCCUAAUGAGAGAGCACACUUUGGAAAAGGAUGACUGACUUUUAGAAGGAAGACCCAAACAAACCGGUCAACAGAAAUGGAGUGCUGCUCUAGUGCCAUGCCCGAGACACCUGCCAAUAGUCCUCUGCCACUCGCCAUCCCUGCAUCAGCAUCUGGGACAUGGUCAUUACACUUGACGCUUGUCACUCCACCUCUCCUCACUCCUCAGCUCACAGAAAAGAGAUUUGUGAAAUACCAGCUCUGGUCUUGUUUGUAAACAUGGAAAGCAGAGUGCGGAGCAUAAAUUACCAGCAGACAACAUCUGGAUUCCAUACUAAGAACAAGCAUCUCACUACAAAG